This 586-nucleotide ribosomal RNA is filed under the name uncultured Chlorobiota bacterium. RNAcentral describes it as "bacterial SSU rRNA". It matches the Rfam family "Bacterial small subunit ribosomal RNA", at positions 788 to 1378 of the family's 1533-position model. Lineage: Bacteria; Pseudomonadati; Chlorobiota. The record is from RNAcentral.
UGGUAGUCCACACCCUAAACGAUGAGUACUAGACGCUGAGCCUUUUAAGGCCCAGUGUCUGAGCUAACGCAUUAAGUACUCCACCUGGGAAGUACGAUCGCAAGGUUGAAACUCAAAGGAAUUGACGGGGGCCCGCACAAGCAGUGGAGCAUGUGGUUUAAUUCGAUGCAACGCGAAGAACCUUACCUAGGCUUGAAACGCAAGUUAAAACUGAUGAAAGUCAGUGUGCCGCAAGGCGAACUUGUACAGGUGCUGCAUGGCUGUCGUCAGCUCGUGCCGUGAGAUGUUGGGUUAAGUCCCGCAACGAGCGCAACCCUCGCCUUUAGUUACCAUCAUUCAGUUGGGUACUCUAAAGGAACCGCCGGUGAUAAGCCGGAGGAAGGUGGGGAUGACGUCAAGUCCUCAUGGCCCUUACGCGCUGGGCUACACACGUGCUACAAUGGCGACUACAGUGGGCAGCAAUCCCGCGAGGGUGAGCUAAUCUCCAAAAGUCGUCUCAGUUCGGAUUGCACUCUGCAACUCGAGUGCAUGAAGGCGGAAUCGCUAGUAAUCGCGGAUCAGCAUGCCGCGGUGAUACGUUCCCAGG